Cyanistes caeruleus (blue tit) is the source of this 470-nucleotide non-coding RNA. The record is from RefSeq and is a predicted model, not a curated record. NCBI's taxonomy places the organism in Eukaryota, Metazoa, Chordata, Aves, Passeriformes, Paridae.
CCCCUGUGACUGCAUCCUAAUGAGCCUUGAGCCACCUGCCUCACACACCUCUGGCUUCUUUGUCUUCCCCUUCAGCUGGAGAAACUGAGGCUAGAGAACGUGGGAGGAGUGGCACCCCCAGUCAGAAAGAGUCACCUCAUCCUCAGCAAGGAACCCUGGGGACACACUACCUUCACCAUCCAGGCUGCUGAACAUCCCAGGAACAUUUUAAGAUAGCUGGUGACUGACCCAGAAGUACAGAAGUAUUUACAUUGUUGUUACUUUUAUACACUUGGACCAUCAUUUGCUUUUCCAUAUCUCAUAGCUGAGUUUGUAUUAAUGCCUCAAUGCCUCAAGACUGACAGCAUGAUGGGUAAAGGACUUCAGAUGUGAAUUAAUAAUAGAUUCUGCCUUAAUAUUCAUGAUGUAAUACUGAAAAGUAUGCCUGAGUUUUCAAAAACUGUAGAGGAAAUACACUGUAUAGAAAAUUU